UGGGGGAUAUUGCACAAUGGGGGAAACCCGUGAUGCAGCGACGCCGCGUGGGUGAAGAAGCGCCUCUGCGCGUAAAGCCCUGUCAGCAGGGAAGAAAAUGACGGUACCUGAAGAAGAAGCCCCGGCUAACUACGUGCC
This 138-nucleotide ribosomal RNA is filed under the name uncultured bacterium. RNAcentral describes it as "partial 16S ribosomal RNA". It matches the Rfam family "Bacterial small subunit ribosomal RNA", at positions 355 to 509 of the family's 1533-position model. The record is from RNAcentral.